RNAcentral lists this RNase P RNA (318 nucleotides) under bovine gut metagenome. RNAcentral describes it as "Bacterial RNase P class A". It matches the Rfam family "Bacterial RNase P class A", at positions 31 to 354 of the family's 367-position model. Rfam says of the family: Ribonuclease P (RNase P) is a ubiquitous endoribonuclease, found in archaea, bacteria and eukarya as well as chloroplasts and mitochondria. Its best characterised activity is the generation of mature 5'-ends of tRNAs by cleaving the 5'-leader elements of precursor-tRNAs. The record is from RNAcentral.
ACAGUUCUUUGAGAGGAAAGUCCGGGCAACACAGAGCAGCAUACUGCCUAACAGACAGGCAAUAGUAAUCUAUUGACAGAAAGUGCAACAGAAAAUAACCGCCUGCAUUUAUUUGCAGGUAAGGGUGGAAAAUCAGGGUAAGAGCCUGUAGGAAAGGUUAGCGAUAAUCUUUUUGUGCAAACCUUAUGCGUUGAAAGUCCAAAUAUACCAACUAUUAAUGCUUGCUCGGCAAAAGUUGGGGGGUAGGAUGAUUGAGCUAUAUUGUAAAAUAUAGCCUAGAUUAAUGAUAGAACUUGACAGAACCCGGCUUACAGAUAC